RNAcentral lists this transfer RNA (90 nucleotides) under Enterococcus faecium. RNAcentral describes it as "tRNA-Ser". It matches the Rfam family "tRNA". From Rfam's summary of the family: Transfer RNA (tRNA) molecules are approximately 80 nucleotides in length. Their secondary structure includes four short double-helical elements and three loops (D, anti-codon, and T loops). Lineage: Bacteria; Bacillati; Bacillota; Bacilli; Lactobacillales; Enterococcaceae. RNAcentral also lists the same sequence under 2 other names. The record is from RNAcentral.
GGAGCUAUGACUGAGAGGCUGAAGGUGACGCACUGCUAAUGCGUUAGUCGACAUAAAGUUGGCUCAUGGGUUCGAAUCCCAUUAGCUCCU